UGAACGCUGGCGGUAUGCUUAACACAUGCAAGUCGAACGGAAACGAUACUAGCUUGCUAGUAGGCGUCGAGUGGCGGACGGGUGAGUAACGCGUAGGAAUCUGCCUGAUAGUGGGGGAUAGCCCGAAGAAAUUCGGAUUAAUACCGCAUAAUCUAUUCGUAGUAAAGUGGGGGACUUUCGAGCCUCACGCUAUCAGAUGAGCUUGCGUAAGAUUAGCUAGUUGGUAGGGUAAAAGCCUACCAAGGCUACGAUCUUUAGCUGGUCUGAGAGGAUGAUCAGCCACAUCGGGACUGAGACACGGCCCGAACUCCUACGGGAGGCAGCAGUGGGGAAUAUUGGACAAUGGGGGCAACCCUGAUCCAGCAAUACCGCGUGUGUGAAGAAGGCCUGAGGGUUGUAAAGCACUUUCAAUUGUGAAGAAAAGUUAACGGUUAAUAACCGUUAGCCUUGACGUUAACUUUAGAAGAAGCACCGGCUAACUCCGUGCCAGCAGCCGCGGUAAUACGGAGGGUGCAAGCGUUAAUCGGAAUUACUGGGCGUAAAGCGUGCGUAGGCGGUUUAUUAAGUCAGAUGUGAAAGCCCCGGGCUUAACCUGGGAACUGCAUUUGAAACUGGUCAACUAGAGUAUGGUAGAGGAAAGUGGAAUUUCUGGUGUAGCGGUGAAAUGCGUAGAUAUCAGAAGGAACAUCAAUGGCGAAGGCAGCUUUCUGGACCAAUACUGACGCUGAGGUACGAAAGCGUGGGUAGCAAACAGGAUUAGAUACCCUGGUAGUCCACGCCGUAAACGAUGAUAACUAGCCGUUGGGGGGAUUUACCCUUUAGUGGCGAAGCUAACGCGUUAAGUUAUCCGCCUGGGGAGUACGGCCGCAAGGUUAAAACUCAAAGGAAUUGACGGGGACCCGCACAAGCGGUGGAGCAUGUGGUUUAAUUCGAUGCAACGCGAAGAACCUUACCUGGUCUUGACAUCCUGCGAACUUUCUAGAAAUAGAUUGGUGCCUUCGGGAACGCAGUGACAGGUGCUGCAUGGCUGUCGUCAGCUCGUGUCGUGAGAUGUUGGGUUAAGUCCCGUAACGAGCGCAACCCCUAUCCUUAUUUGCCAGCACGUCAUGGUGGGAACUAUAAGGAGACUGCCGGUGAUAAACCGGAGGAAGGCGGGGACGACGUCAAGUCAUCAUGGCCCUUACGACCAGGGCUACACACGUGCUACAAUGGGAAGGACAAAGAGCCGCGAAGCCGCGAGGUGUAGCUAAUCUCAGAAACCUUUUCGUAGUCCGGAUUGGAGUCUGCAACUCGACUCCAUGAAGUCGGAAUCGCUAGUAAUCGUAGAUCAGAAUGCUACGGUGAAUACGUUCCCGGGUCUUGUACACACCGCCCGUCA
This 1378-nucleotide ribosomal RNA is filed under the name uncultured bacterium. RNAcentral's name for it is "16S ribosomal RNA". It matches the Rfam family "Bacterial small subunit ribosomal RNA", at positions 30 to 1399 of the family's 1533-position model. The record is from RNAcentral.